AAAAAAUAUUGAAAUAUGAAGUUGUAAAAUCCAGAAAUCUGGAUCGAAGUUUAAAAAAUUUUAAAUUUUUGUGUAUACAUAACAUUUAUAAAUAUUUCUUUUUCUGUUUGCUCCGAAUUUCUUUACUUCGAUUUUGCUCCGAUUAGCACGAACCUGACUUAAAGUCCAAGUGCAGCGGGUGCAACAACCGAGGGACAACGGGAGCGUACAUUCAUGCGUGAACUGCAGGUGUUGUUUACUCUAGUUUACUCGUCAAUGAGUGCUCCUCAUUGAAUAGAUAGACUGGAAACCGCGAGAAGAUGAGCGUACGCGAAUUCGGCGUCUCGAGGGAGACCGUUCGUGGUUUAUUCGUAAACGAGCACUCCCAUUCAACAAGACGGACGUAACUUUUUCACGUGUACCGCGUCGCACGUUGACUCAUACUUGCUCAUACUGCACAUUCCGAAGGUAUAAUUCAUAACGCUGUGCCGCGAAACGAGAAGGCCGGGAUUGAGAGUUCCGCAAUCGAUAUAUAAAACUCAAGAAAAAAAAAAAUGGUUGGCAAGAUGACGACGAUAAUUACAUUCCUUUUGUUCUUCUGCGGAGUUUGUUUCGUGUGCGCUCAAAAGUAUGAGGGCUGUUUUCGAAGUUCCGAUCACGGGUUACCCUCUCCAGCCUUGGCCUACGCCAGCACGCCCGCCGAGUGCACCAAAAGAUGCCGUUCUUAUUAUUAUAUGUUUGCAGCGUUAAUGAAUGGGCAACUAUGUUAUUGUAUCAGUAGAUUUGGUCAGGACGGUCCAUCAAAUAGUUGUACUGUUCCCUGUGCCUCUGAUCCGGAUAAUUAUUGUGGCAGCUACGAAGCUAUGAGUGUUUAUGCUACUGGUCAGCAAGGGCCAAGUCCACCGAGGAGAAUAGAGGUAACUCGAGACGGCAUAGACGCUCUCAUAAUAACGUGGCAGCCACCUGACAUACCUAAUGGAAAUGUGACGUUUUAUACCGUUCGUGCUGUUAGCGUGGAAACACACUCGAGCAACAUUCUGCCACCUGUCGAGAGUCAGAUUCAGGGAGGUUCGUCGAACAUGACGACUUUGAGAGGUCUUCAGCCUGGCACCAAAUAUAAUAUAUCUAUCACCGCUAGCAACAUGCUCGGAGCUAGCGAUCCGGCCUAUGUUGUGGGAUGGACUUCGAUCGGUCCUCCUGACAAACCAGCCAUGCCCGAGGUGGUGGAAUGCGAUGACAGCACAAUCACCGUCGUGCUUACCGAGGGUCAUAGCGAAUAUGGACCGAUCAGCGCGUAUCAGGUGGUUGUCGCACAGACUGGCACUAUACCUCCGAUUGGUCCCCAUGUGGAGUACUUAAACUACAACGACGCGUCGCAACAGGGCUUAAAUUAUUACGUCACCGCGCAGUUCGAUCCAUCGAAUUUUUACAAAUACAAAAGAUUCACCGUGGGCGACGGGAGGAUGAUCGGUGGUUAUUAUAACGCCCCGUUAAAGGACCAUUUUGUUUCGGCGCAAGUCGGCUUGGCGAUAAUCUCGCGGGUACAGACAGAAAUACAACGUUCCUAUUCCGAUUUGGCCAAUAACGCGUUCAGCCAUGAGACGACAGUCACGAAUCAAAUGGACUCAACGGCUCUUGUGCUUUGCAUAGCGAUUACGUUGCUAAGUAUACUACUCGCUGUUUCGAUACUGGUUUAUUUUGUACUGCGACGGCGACACGAGAGAUUUCACAUGCGAAAACUGCCGGAGCAGCAGGAGCUCACGUUACAGGGUCCGGUGUAUGAGGUGGACAACAUGGGCUACAUUCCGGAAGACAUUCCCGAGAGAGUGAAUCACUAUCAAGAGUUGAAGAAGAAAGUCUGGAGUAUACCGCGAAACGCGCUGUCCAUCGAUAAUCACAUUUUGCGCAGAGGACGAUUCGGCAGUGUGCACACCGGAACCGUUUUGAAGGAUGACGGCCUCUGUACGGUAACGGUUCAUACGAUAGCCGAUGGUGCCCUGAAGGGAUCCGACAAGAGGCACAUGCUGAGAGAAUUAGAUGUGUGCAUCCGAGCGAGCUCCAUGAAGUAUCUCGCAGGCCUCGUGGGAACUUGCGAAACCUCGGACACGUUAUACGUCGUGCUGGAACUGCCACCGCAGAUCUUGAAGAACCGUCUCUUGGGUGCGCGAUCCGGAGACGCGUUUCCGGUAGAUCGAGUACUAUCCAUCUCAUCUUUGAUAGCGGUCGCCUUGCAGUACUUGGCGACUCACAAGAUCAUCCAUAAUCGGCUCUGCGCGCGAAGCGUGGGGCUGACGAGCGACUGGACACCGAAACUCACGGGUCACGGUAUUUCCAAGUACGCCUUGGAAGACAUGAAAUACGCAAGAUGGACCGCCGUCGAAUGCUUCGACAAUCAAAAGAAACAUCAACCGGGCGUGAUCUGGGCGUUCGGUGUACUUCUCUGGGAGAUAUUUAGCAUGGGCGGUACACCGUACUCGAAUCUAACGCUCGACAGCGAAGUGGAAAAUGCGGUUACGCAAGGCAUUCGGUUACCACAAUUGUUGGACGUCACAGAUCCGAUUUACGAGGUCAUGUUGUCCUGCUGGCGAAACGAUCCCGAAGAUCGGCCGACCUUUGACGAACUCACGCGAUUGGAUACUUUGAGUAUUUGUCCUAUUACUGCAAUUACGGAGCCCUAUAUACCGGAAUUGGAGUUGAAUUAACAUUCUUAUUUGCAUACUCAGGCACAUCUGCAUUUACUUGAUAGUAACGUAUCAAAUUGCGAUUUGUAAAUAUCUCAUUGUGUUCACGGGAAUCUCGUAGAUUUCAUCGUUACCAAUAUAAUCGCUGAUCAUCGAAGCGGACAAUCUUCACGUAGUAUGAGGCGAUGAGACUUUGCUCGAGUGAGAAUGU
RNAcentral lists this unclassified non-coding RNA (2871 nucleotides) under Pogonomyrmex barbatus (red harvester ant). RNAcentral describes it as "putative tyrosine-protein kinase Wsck, transcript variant X3". The record is from RNAcentral. Lineage: Eukaryota; Metazoa; Arthropoda; Insecta; Hymenoptera; Formicidae.